AACGAACGCUGGCGGCAUGCCUAACACAUGCAAGUCGAACGAGACCUUCGGGUCUAGUGGCGCGCGGGUGCGUAACGCGUGGGAACCUGCCCUUAGGUUCGGAAUAACUCCCCGAAAGGGGUGCUAAUACCGGAUAAUGUCUUCGGACCAAAGAUUUAUCGCCUUUGGAUGGGCCCGCGUUGGAUUAGCUAGUUGGUAGGGUAUAAGCCUACCAAGGCGACGAUCCAUAGCUGGUCUGAGAGGAUGAUCAGCCACACUGGGACUGAGACACGGCCCAGACUCCUACGGGAGGCAGCAGUGGGGAAUAUUGGACAAUGGGCGAAAGCCUGAUCCAGCAAUGCCGCGUGAGUGAUGAAGGCCUUAGGGUUGUAAAGCUCUUUUACCCGGGAUAAUAAUGACAGUACCGGGAGAAUAAGCUCCGGCUAACUCCGUG
This 433-nucleotide ribosomal RNA is filed under the name uncultured bacterium. RNAcentral describes it as "partial 16S ribosomal RNA". It matches the Rfam family "Bacterial small subunit ribosomal RNA", at positions 29 to 507 of the family's 1533-position model. The record is from RNAcentral.